RNAcentral lists this transfer RNA (72 nucleotides) under Anaerolineae bacterium. Its description in RNAcentral is "tRNA-Arg". It matches the Rfam family "tRNA". From Rfam's summary of the family: Transfer RNA (tRNA) molecules are approximately 80 nucleotides in length. Their secondary structure includes four short double-helical elements and three loops (D, anti-codon, and T loops). Lineage: Bacteria; Bacillati; Chloroflexota; Anaerolineae. The record is from RNAcentral.
GUCCCUGUAGCUCAGUGGAUAGAGCGCUGGCCUCCGGAGCCAGAAACGGGAGUUCGAGUCUCCCCAGGGAUG